This 20580-nucleotide long non-coding RNA is filed under the name Homo sapiens (human). RNAcentral describes it as "HSALNT0303773". Lineage: Eukaryota; Metazoa; Chordata; Mammalia; Primates; Hominidae. The record is from RNAcentral.
AGCCACCCUGCCGCCAUUAACAGCACUAGGCAGGCAGUGCGCAGAGCUGAGAACUUGCCCCAGGUUACCCGCCUCCCAGCUGCUAAACAAAAGGGAGGCUUUUCAGCUGGUUCAAAUUGUUACAAAGUUCAGCUAGAGAUUUGCUUUUACCUGCGGCGUUUUCCCCAUACCACUGGCUGCCCUCCCGAAGAAUUCCUGUGAUGCCAGGCAGGAAUGGCCUGGUUGGAGACCAGCUAGCUCCCAGGGCCUUUCCCGCUGCUUCCUCUACCCCUGUAUUUCGCUGGGCUCUCUAAAUGGAUUCAGCUCCAGAGGAGGAAAACCUUGAGACCCUGAGACUUUCAGAAACUUAUUCACAGUUACCAAAGCUGAUUCAACAACUCCUUUGGUCAUUUCCUGUAGGACAGGUAUAGUGUUGAUGAAAUUCCUCAGAUUUUGUUUGUCUGGGAAAGUCUUUAUUUCUCCUUCAUGUUUGAAGAAUAUUUUCACCAGAUAUAUUCUUCUUGGGUGAAAAAUUCUUUUCCUUAAGCACUUUAAAUAUGUUAUGACAUUCUGUCCUGGCCUGUAAGGAUUCCACUAGAAUGUCUGCUGCCAGACAUAUUGGAGCUCCAUUGUAUAUUGUUAUUUUUCUUUUAUCAUGUUGCUGUUAGGAACCUUUCUUUACCCUUGACUUUUGGGAGUUUUAUUAUUAAAUGCCUUGAGAUAAACUUCUUUGGGUUAAAUCUGCUAGGUGUUCUGUAACCUUCUUACACUUGAAUGUUAAUAUUUUUCUCUAGCUUUGGGAAGUUCUCUGUUAUUAUCAUUUUGAAUAAACUUUCUGCCCUGUCUCUCUCUCUACCUUCUCGUUAAACCCUAUAAUACUUAGAUUCAUCCUUUAGAGGCUAUUUUCUAAAUCUCGUUGGCAUGCUUCAUUCUUUUUUAUUAUUUUUUCUUUUAUUUUCUCUGACUGUGUAUUUCCAGACAGCCUGUCUUGAAGCUCAUCAGUUUCUUCUGCUUGAUCAAUUCUGCUAUGAAGAGACUCUGAUGCAUUCUUCAGUAUGUCAAUUGCAUUUUUGAACUCCAAAAUUUAUGCUUGAUUCUUUUACAUUAUUUUAAUUUCUUUGUCAAAUUAAUCUGAUAGGAUUCUGAAUUCCUUCUUUGUGUUAUCUUGAAUUUCUUUGACUUUUCUCAAAAUAGCUGUUUUGUAUUAUCUAUCUGAAAGGUCACACAUUUCUGUCCCUCCAGGAUUGGUACCUAAUGACCUAAUGCCUUAUUUUGUUCAUUUGAUGAGAUCACAUUUUCCUACGUGGCCUUGAUUCCUGUGGAUGUUCAUCCGUGUCUGGGAAUUGAAGAUUAGGUAUUUAUUGUAGUCUUCACAGUGUGAGCUUUUUAUACGCAUUCUUCCUAAGACAUCUUUCCAAGUCUUCAAAAGGACUCAGAUGUUCUAAGUUUUUGGUCAUUGCUGCCCUAUCUGCAUUAGGGACCCCUCCAAGCCCAGUAGUGCUGUGAUUCUUGCAGACUUGUACAGGUACCACCUUGGUGGUCUUGGAAAAUAUUCAGAAGAAUUAUCUGGUUUACCAGGCAGAGACUAUUGCUUUUUUCUCCUUAUUUUCUCCCAAGCAAAUGGAGCUUCUCUCUUUCUUUGUUCUAAACUGCCUGGUGCUGGGAGAGAAGUGACACAAGCACCCCUGUGGCCACCACCACUGGGAUUUUGCUGGGUCAUCCAUGAAGUGAGCAUAGCAUUGAAUCUUGCCCAAGGCCCACUGUAAUCACUAUCUUGCUACAGCCUAUGUUUACUGAAGACCCUAGGGCUCUACAGUCAGCAAGUUGCAAAGCCAGACAGGCUUGUGAAUUGCCUGUAGAGCAGCAAUUUCCUGUGGGCUUCAGGUAAGUCCAGAGUUACUGUGUAGGAGCCAGAUCUGGAGGUGAAAACUUAGAAAUGUACUAGUGCCCUAUUUUACUGUGGCUGUGCUAACACAGAAACCACAAAACAAAGUCUUUGCCACUCUUCCCUCUCCAUUUUCCAUCAUGUCCACCACAACCAAGGUCCAUGCUGACUAGUGCCAGGAUAUGACCGAUUUCACUUAAUGCCCAAGGACUCUUUAGUCAGCUCAUGUUGAAUGCUUCCAGGCCUGAGACUCAGCCUUCAUAGCCAUAAAUUCCCUUCUGGCCCACAGUAGGUCCAGAAAUGCCUUCUAAGAGCCAAGGCCUGGAAUCAGAAACUCCAAGAGCCCACUUGGAUCUCUUCCCCACUGUAGCUGAGCUGGUACCUAAGCUGUAAGAUAAAGUCUCUUUCACUCUUCCCUCUGCUUUUCUGAAUCAGAACACAUCUCUCUCCUUUGUCACCACAGCUGUGAAUGUGCUAGGUCAUAACUGAAGCCUGCACAUCUUAGAAUCUCAACCAAGGCCUCUGGCAUGCACCACCUGGUUACUGCUGCUGAUUUUUCAGGGCCCAAAGACUCCUUAGUCAGCAGGUGAUGAAUCUUGCCAGGACUGGGUCCUUCCCUUCAAGACAGGGGAUUUUCUUCCUGCCCAGGGUGUAUCUAGAAAUGUCAUCUAGGAGCUAGGGCCUAAAACUGUGGCCUCACAACUCUGCCUCAUGCCUAUCCUACUGUGGCUGAGCUGGUAUACAACUUGUAAGUCAAAGUCCUCUUUCCUUUUCUCUCUCCUCUCCUCAAGUUGAAGAAAAACCCCUUUUAUGCAGCUCUUUCACCUCCUUGGUUACAUUUAUUCCUAACUUCGUAUAACUUUCGUAAUUAUUCUGAAUAGCAUUGUUGUCUUAGUUGUUUUAUUUCAGAUGUUAAUUGCUAAGUUUAUAGAAAUGCUAUUAAUUUUGUUUAUUGAUUUUUUAUUCUGCAUCUUUACUGAAUUCCCCUAUUAGUUUGAACAGUUUUGUAGGCAAACAUGAGGCUUUCUAAAUAUAAGUUUAUAUUAUUUGUAAACAGGGACAAUUUUACUUCUUUUCUAAUUUCAAUGCCUUUUAUUCCUUUAUUUUCCCUAAUUACUCUGGCUCAGAUUUGAAUACUAAAUUGAAUAGAAGUGAUGCAAAUAGGCAUCUUUGUCUUUCUCCUGGUUUUGGAGAAAAACUUUCAACUUCAGAGCGUUAAGUAUGGUGUCAGCUAUGAGCUUGUCAUAUAUUGUGUUGAGCUACAUUCUUUCUAUAUGUAAUUUGUUGAGAGUUUUCAUCAUGAAAGAAUGUUGGAUUUUGUAAAAAUACUCUUUCUGCAUAUAUAACAUGAUUAUAUGGUAUCAUAGUAAUAGUUAUACCAAUUUCUAAGAUUUUGAGAUGAGUUUGAGAAGGUUUGAUACUAUGAUUUGGGUAUAGUUUGUUCUCAUCAAAUCUCAUGUUAAAAUUUGAUUCCUAGUUUGAUGGUAUUGGGAGGUGGGACUUAGUGGAGAUUGUUUGGGUCAUGGAGGCAAAUUCCUCUUCAAUGGCCUGGUGCUGUUUUCACAGUAGUGUGUGACUUCUUGCUCUCGUGAGACUUGAUAGGUUCUUGGGAGAAUAAAUUGAUUCCUCUGAGAGAGUGAAUUGUUAUAAAGGCAGGAUGUCCCAUGGAUUUUCCCCCUCUUCACAAAUUCUUGCUUCCCCAUUUACCUUCUCCACUGCAUUUGGAUGCAGCACAAGAGCCCUUGCCAGAAGCAAGAAGAUCCCAGUGCCAUGCUUUUUUACAACCUCGAGAACAAAGAGCUAAAUAAACCUCUAUUCAUUAUAAAUUCCCCAGCCUUGGGUGUUUUGAUAUAACAAUACAAAAUGGACUAACAAAAUUGGUACUAAUUCUUCUUUAAAUAUUUGUAGAAUUCAGCCCUGAAGGUACCUGAUCCUGGCCUUUUCUUUGAUGAGAGACUUUGUAUUACUGAUUCAAUUUCCUUCCUCAUUAUUGGUAGAUUUUCUAUUUUUUAAAAAUUUUAAAUCUAGGGGGUACAUGUGCUUGUUUGUUACAUGGGCACUAGAUGAAUAAUGGUGGGGGUUUGGCUUCUAGUGUGCUCAUCACCCAAAUAUUGAAUAUUGUACCUAGUAGUUAAUUUUUCGACCCUCACCCCCUUCCAACUCUUCUCCCUUUGGGGUAUCCAGAGUCUAUUUUUUUCAUCUUUAUGUUCAUAUGUAUCCCUUGCUCUCACUUAUAAGUGAGAGCAUGUGAUAUUUGAUUUUCUUCUUCUGUCUUAGUUCACUUAGGAUAAUGGCCUCCACCUUCAACAAUGUUGCUGCAAAAAAUAUGAUUUUAUUCUUUUUGAUGGCUGUGUAGCAUUUCAUGGUGUACCAUAUUUUCUUUAUCCAAUAAACUGUUGGUUAACACUUAGAUUGUUUCCAUGGCUUUGCUAUUGUAUAUAGUGCUACAAUAAACAAACCAGUUCAGGGGUCUUCUUAAUAGAAUGAUUUUUUCCUCUCUAGGUGGACACACAGUAGUGGGAUUGAUGGGUCAAAAGAUAGCUCUGGUGCAGCAAACUGCCAUGGCCCAUGGUAUAUACCUAUGUAACAAACCUGCAUGUUCUACACAUGUAUCCCCCUCCUUUUUUUUUUAAAGAAGAAAUAAAUAAAUAAAAGAAAAAGAGAAAGAAAAUUCUAUUUUUAAUUCUCUAAGAUAUUUACAUAAUGUUUUCCAUCGAGGUUGAACUAAUUUAUAUUCACACCAACAGCGUAUGAACAUUCCUGUUUUUCUACAUGCAUGUCCAUUGUUUUUUGACUUUUGAAUAAAAGUCAUUCUGUCGGGUAUAUCAUGAUAUCUGUGUGGUUUUAACUUGAAUUUAUCUGAUAAUUAGUAAUGGUGAAAGAUUUUUAUGUGCUUCUUAUAUUUCUUCUUUGGAGAAAUAUCUGUUCCUUUCCUUUGUCCACUUUUUAAUGAGACUGUUUGUUCAUUUCUUGUUGAGUUGUUUGAGUUCUUUGCAGAUUCUGGAAAUGAUUUUUUCUCAGAGGCAUAAUAUGUAAAUUUUUUUAAUCUGUAGAUUGUCUGUUUAUUCUGUUCAUUGUUUCUUUUAAUGCACAGAAGCUUUUUACUUUUAUUAAAUCCCAUUUGUCUUUUUUUUUUUUUGGCAUUUGCUUUUGGAGUCUUCAUCAUUAAUUUUUUGCCUAGACUAAAGUCCAGAAGAGUUUUUCCUAGGUUUUCCUCUAGGAUUUUUCAUAGCUUCUUGUCUUACACUUCGGCCUUUAAUUCAUCUCGAGUUAAUUUUUGUAUAUCAUGAGAGACAGAGUUCCAGUUUCAGUUUUCUGCAUUAUGGCUAGCCAGUUUUCUCAGUACCAUUUAUUGAAUUGGAUAUCCAUUCCACAUUGUUUAUUUUUAUUGACUUUAUUGAAUAUCAGUUGGGUAUAGUAUAGGGCUUUAUUUCUGUGAUCUCUAUUCAGUUCUAUUGCUCUAUGUGUCUUUUUUUGUAUCAGUAUCAUUCAUGAAUUUUUUUUUACUAUAGCCGUGUAGUAUAAUUUGAUGUCAGGCAAUAUGAUGCCUCAGGAUUUGUUCUUUUUGCAUAAGAAUGCUUUGUCUACUUGGAAUCUUUAUGUUGCACAUGAACUUUAGAAUUUUUUUUAAUUCUGUAAAAAUAAUGUUUGUAGUUUAAUAGGAAUAACAUUAAAUGUGUAGACUGCUUUGGACACAGUGGGCAUUUUAACAAUAUUGAUUCUUCCAAUUAAUGAUCAUGAAAUGUAUUUCCAUUUAUUUCUGUCAUCUACAAUUUCUUUCAUCUGUAUUUUGUAAUUCUUGUAGUUAUCCUUCACCUCAUUGGUAAAAUGCAUUCCUAGGUGUUUUAUUUUUUUGUGGCUAUUGUAAAUAAAAUUGAAUCCUUAAUUUUAUUCUAGCUUGAAUGUUAUCAGUGUUUAGAAAUGCCGCUAAUUUUUCUACACUGAUUCAGAAUCAGAGACUUUAGUAAAGUCGAUAAUCAGGUCUAAGAAUCUUCUAGAGGAGUCUUUAAGGUUUUCUUGGUAUGUCAUCAGCAAACAGAGAUAAUUUGACUUUCAUAUUUUUCAGUUCGAAUGUCUUUUAUAUAUUUUUCUUGCCUGAGAGCUCUGGCUAGAACUUCUAGUACUAUGUUGAUUUGUAGUGGUGAGAGUGGACAUCCUUAUCUUUUCUUCCAGUUCUUAGAGAAAAUGGUGUCCACUUUUCCCCAUUCAGUAUGAUGUUGGCUGUGGGUUUGUCAUAUAUGUUUCCUAUUAUUUUAAGAUACGUUUUAACUAUGACUAUUUGUUGAGGGUUCUUAUCACAAAAGGGAUGUUGGAUAUUAUGUAAUGCUUUUUCUGCAUCUAUUGAGAUGACCAUAGGUUUUUGUUCUUAAUUCUGUUCGGGUGAUGGAUUAUACUCAUUGAUUUGUAUAUGCUGAACCAUCCUUGCAUCCCUGGAAUAAAGCCUACUUGAUUAUGGUCAAUUAUCUUUUGGAUGUGCUGUUUAAUUUGGUUUGCUUGUAUUUUGUUGAAUUUUUUUGCAUCUAUGUUCAUAAUGGAUAUUGAUCUGUAGUUUCCUUUUUUGUUGUGUUCUUGGCUAAUUUUGUAUCAGAGUGAUACUGGAUUCAUAGAAUGAGUUUAGAAGGGAUUCCUUCUCAAUAUUUUGGAAUAGUUUCAGUAGGAUAGGUAACAGCUUUUCUAUGCACAUCUGUGCAAAUUCCACUGUGAAUUCAUCUUAUACUGGGAUUUUUUGUUGGAAGAUUUUUAAAUUAAUGAUUUGAUUUUAUUAUUCAUUAUUGAUAUAUUUAAGGUUUCAUUUCCUCUAGGUUUUCUAGUUGGUCCUCAUAGAGAUAUUAAUAGUAUUCUCUGACAAUCUUUUCUAUUUCUCUGAUAUAACCUGUGAUGUCAUUUUUAUCAUUUCUGACUGUACUUAUUACAAUCGUCUCUCAUUUUUUCUUAGUCUAACUGUCAGUCUGGAAAUUUUGUUUAUCUUUUCAAAACAUCAACCUUUUAUUACACUGACAUUUUGUGUCAUUUUUUGGUCUCAAUCUCAUUUGGUUUUGCUCUGAUCUAUAUUUCCAUCUGCUAGAUUUGGGUUCAGUUUGCUUUUAUUUUUCUAGUUCCUUGAGCCAUGAUGUUAGCUUGUAAUUUGAGACCUAUCUUUUUGAUGUAGGCAUUUAAUGCUGUACAUUUUCUGCCUAGCACUGCUUUUGUUGUAUCCUAGAGGUUUUGGUAUCUUAGUCUCUAUUUUCAUUCAUUUCAAAUAAUCUUUUUAAUUUUUGUCUUGAUUUUGUUAUUUACCCAAAAGUCAUUCAGGAGUUAGUUGUUUCCAUGCAUGUAUAUAGUUUUAGGAGUUCCUCUUUGUAUUGAUUUCUAAUUUUAUUCCAUUGUGGUCCAAGAAGAUACAUGAUAUAAUAUUUUUUUGAAUUUAUUGAGACUUGCCAUAUGAACAGGCAUAUGGUUGAUUUUGGAGGAUAUCCCCUGUGCAAAUGAGAAAAAUUUAUAUUCUAUAGUUGUUAGGUAAAAUAUCCUGUAGAAGUUUAUUAAGUCUAUUUGGUCUAUAGUCCAUUUUAAUUCCAGAAUUCCUUUACUGAUUUUCUGCUUUGAUGAUCUGCCUAGUGAUAUCAGUGAAGUGUUGAAGUCCCCCACUAUUAUCAUAUGGCUAUCAAUCUGUUUUCUUAGGUUUAGUAACAUUUCUCUUGUGAAUCUGAGUGCCCCAGUAUUGGGUUCAUAUAUAUUUAGAAUAGUUAAAUUUUCUUGUUGUAUUGAAUUCUUUGUCAUUAUAUAAGGCCCCUGUUUGUCUUUAUUUGUACGAUUGUUAGUUUAAAGUCCAUUUUAUCUGAUAGGAGAAUGGCUAUUCCUGCUCACUUUUGUUUUCCAUUAUUUUUUUUUCACACUUUUACUUUGUAUCUGAAUGUGACUUUAGCCAGUAGGAGAGUGUCUUGUAGAGAGCAAGUGGUUAGGUCUUUUUAAUCCAAUAUGUCACAGUGUAUCGUUUAAGUGGAGUAUUUAAGCCAUUUACAUUGAAGGUUAAAAUUUAUCUGUGAGGUUUUAUUCCUAACAUAGUUUUGUUAUCUAUUUGUUUUGGAGUUUUGAUUGUGUCAUUCCUUAUAGGAUCUGUGAGCUUAGUACUUACGCGUCCUUUUCUGAUGGUAAGUAUAACCCUUUUGUUUCCAUGUUUGGAACUCUUUCAUUUCUUGUAGAACCAGUGUAGUACUGACAAAUUUUCUCAGUCACUGCUUGUCUGGGGAAGGCUUUAUUUCCUUUAAUUUAUGAAGCUUAAAUUGUCAGGAUAUAAAAUUCUUGGCUGGCUUUUUUUUUCCUUUAAGGAGGCUAAAAGUGCGUCCCCAAUAUCUUCUGACUUAUAAAAUUUUUGUUUAGAAGUCUGCUUUUAGUCUGAUUUGUUUUCCUUUGUAGGUAAUUUGACCCUUUUCUUUAGCUGCCUUAAGAUUUUUUUCUUUAGCAUUGACCUUGGGUAGUCUGGUGAGUAUAUGCCUUGGUGACGUUCAUCUUAUAGUAUCUCACAAGUAUUCCCUGGAUUUUUUAUAUCUGGAUGUCAACCUCUUUAACAAGAUUAGGAAAAUGUUCUUAAAUUAUUCCCUCAAAUAAGUUUUCCAGGUUUUUUUUUCAUCUUUCUCAGGAAUGCCAAUAAUUCAUAGGUUUGGUUAAUCCUUUGUUCCUUGAAGGUUUUGUUCAUUAAACAAUUUUUUUCUUUAUUUUUAUCUGACUGGAUUAGUUUGAAAAAACAACCUUCAAGUUCUAAAAUUCUUUCUUCUGUUUGGUUUAGUCUAUUGAUAAAGCUUUCAAUUUUAUUUUGAAAUUCCUUAAGUGAAUGUUUUAUUUCCCAAAGUUCUGAUUGAUUUUUCUAUGGGUAUUUAUUUCUUCCUUUAUUUCUUAAAUUGCUUUAGUGGUUUUUUAAUAUUGAUUUUCAAUCUUGUCUUUGAUCUCACUGAGCUUCCUUUUAAUCCAUAUUUUGAAUUAUUUGUCUGUCAUUUCUGAGUUUCCAUUUUUGUUGGGGUACAACACUAGAGAGCUGACAUGAUCCUUUGGUGUUGUCACAACAUUCAGAUUGUUCAUGGUGCCAGAAUUCUUAUGCUAGCUCCUUCUCAUCUUAAGAGGCUGCCACUUCUAAUUUUUCAAAGGAUGUUCAUGUGGGUAGGAUUUUUUUUCUUUUUUUCUUUAUUUUUUUCUUUCCCUUUCCUCCAUUUCCAGAGAGUGUGACUGUAGAGUAUGUUAGUUUGGAUCUUUUGGCUCUGCCUCGAUAUUCCUAUGCAAUUCUGUUGGCAGGUUUUAUUUUGGGCUAUGGGGUUCAACCUAUAGGCCAGCAGUUGAUGCUUAUGGGUAAGAGCCAGCUGUGACACAAGCAGAUGUUUAUAUACUUGGCACUAUGAGCUACUCAUAGUGCCAAGUUUACCAUGAGGUCUUUGUUUUCUACUAUUUACUAUGAGUUGCUCUCUGUUUACUAUGUUUACUAUGAGGUACUCUCUGUUGUUUUAGGUGAUGGACUGGACAAUGGAGUGUCUAGUGCCCUGAGCUACCUGUUUCAUGGAUGUGGGGGUACACUUCUGAGUGGAGCUGGGUCCCCUUGCUUGCCCAUGAAAACCCAAAUGGUGACUGUAGGUGCCAACCCUGACAAGGGUGGCUGUGCGGAGCUCCUGGUGAAAUUUACUGAGGUGUGUGUAAGGUUCGAGGGGGCUGCACUGGCUUCACGUCUUAGGCAGAAAUGUGAUGUCUUCCCUCUCAAACUCCUGUCCUAGCACUCAUAACUGCCUGCUUAGAUGCACACUGUAGUUUAUUUCCAGACAUCAAUGUGGCUGAGAGCCAUGGGAAAUGCCUAUCUUGUGACUCUUUGUGGGAGUGGUUUUGAAGAAGAACCUCCUCAUUCGGCCCAGUAAAGAUAGCCUUAUGGCUUCCCUAUUCUCCGAUAUGGUAAGGCUGCUGCUUUGUGUGUGUGUAUGGGCUUUACCUUUGGGCCUGUGGGUCUCACCACUUCCCUUGUAAGUCCCAGAAUUAUCUCUAUCUAUUCCAAUAUUCCAUUAGAUCCAAGUAACUAAACAAAGCUACUUUCUUCAGUGCCCUAGUAAAAUGUUCCAAAUGCCUCAUGACCUAAAUUAGGUCUCAUGAUCAGCUCUGAACUGAUUUCUGUGGGUAGGAAAAUGGGAGUUCUUAAUGGAGUAUAUGGUGAGUCAACACCGCAGAAACCUUCAAGUAAAAAGGGGGGUUGGAGAUGUUAUUUCACAAGUUAAAAUCCGGGUGCCUCAGUAAAAAUUCUGAAGCAUGCAUCUUGGAUCAGGGAACAACAAAUACCAACUUUAGGGUGAAUACCCUUAAUAGUAUAAUGCAUUCCCUAUAGAGUCGUUUUUCUCCGCAUAACAGGCUUACUCAGCAUGUGUGACUCUACUUCAUCUCUGUGUUCUUCAUUAGUUUAAAGGUUUUCUUAAUGCCUUUUUGUCCUUGGCUUCUCCUGUGUCAACAUUUUCAGUUCUAACAAGUUUUUUGUUUUCACACUUUGAUAUUGUUCAUAGGAUGUUUAGAUUCUGUUCUGUAACAGAAAGGCAUAAAUGAAGAAGCAGUACAUAAAUUUUGCCUGCCAAUAUCUGUCUUACAAAGACAGUCAGUAUUGUAGUAUUUGUUAUUCUCUUGCUCUAUUGACAAAUGAAAGUAAGUGAAUAUAGUUUGAAGAAAUCCGUUCAACUGUGCAAUUAUCAGGGUCAAGCUAAAGGAUGUAGGCUGGUUGCUUCAUCUGAUUACAUAUUCAUUUAUCCUCAUGGGAAAAGACAAAGAAUCAAUGAUGUCGACAAUUUCUGGAGUGCCCAGCCAACCUGAUAUGAAAGAUCUCUCUGAUGAAGGAAUCAGACCAAUUUCAGAGUCCCAGAGAAAGUCUAUACUUUUCUCUGGAAAUACGACACAACUUUGGGAAUAUAUUUAAAGUAGGAAUGUAUCCACAUUAUAAAACAUAUAUGAAGCUCUGGAUUUUAAUCUCCUAGCUGUAGGUGUCAGUUUGAACAAGAGCAAAGAGACAGUCCCUAUCUUCAAAUAUAAGAAGUUGUUAAGAGAAAAAAUGCAUAACUACAAAAAUAACCAUAAUAAAUCUAUCUAAGACUGCUGAAUAGCAAUUUUUAGAAUUUUAUUUAGGAAACUUCGAGUUUUUUUUUUAUGAUUAACCUGAAGUCUUAAACUUCAAUUGAUUAUUUUACUUGGUUAUGCAAUGUACAAUGUUAAAGGCAUUAAAAUGGAGUUUUUCUUUUUCUUUUCUUUUUUUCUUUUUUUUUUUUUUUUUUGCUCCUCUCACAAAGUAGGCAUUUAAUAAACAUUAGGGAAAAGAAGGUACAAAAAAUAAAAGCGUAUGUCUUGAUACUGCACAUUUUGUUGUAUUGAGAAUAAAAAUUAAAAUGUUAUGAAGAUACAGAUUUUAAUCCUCAGGUUACAGUUUAUAAAAUUCAGAUGGUAGAUAUAAACCUUCUACAUUUUAAAAACAAUAUUGCCAGUGUGGUCAGGCAAUCAGGAAACUUUCCAGAGAAGAAAGCAUAAAAGACCAAUACAUACAGUCAGAUGUUCUGAGUUCAAAUAAAAGAAAGUCCCAAAACAAUUUCCAUUAAAUAGUAUAUAUAUUAAUCAUUGCAUAGAAGAUAUUUAGAGACAGAAACAACAAAUUUAGAAAGUUCAGCCACCCAAUGAUGUCAACAGAAACCUACUUUUCAUCUUUCUUCUCUGUCAUCGUGAGUGCCUUUAAUUUGUCUUACCCUUAGAUGAGGUUCAUGCCUGGUGGACAGUAGGGACAUGUUAAUGCAGUCAUAGCAGAAAAAUUCACUCUCCAUUAAAAGCAACUUUUCCCAAAUGACAAAGCCGAUAAAGUUAGUUAGCAUAAAGCCACAAGUGAAAUUAACAGCACAGUUGCCCAUAUUAUCAAAAACCCUUGAGAAAGCUCCCAUUGUGCCCUACACAGUCAUGUAAGCAAACGUAAGACUAAAGUAUUUCAAUGAGAUUCUAUCCUGAAUACACUGAUUCCUUGUGCACUUGUAGGGAUUUCUACAAGAUUGAGAUUUUUCCUCACUAGAUGUGAAUAGUUUGCCUUUUCAUCUAGUGUGAUGUGAGUGGCCACUGCUAUAGUCAUUCUGAGAGUCUUAUGUGCUCAGUUCUAUUUAUACAUUUUGUAUUUCUUAAUUAUUCAAGCUAAUUUUGUCUGUAUUUUAUUUAGGAGUAAUUUUUAAUGUUAAAUUUGUGAGCAAAAUUGUCUAUAUUGCUGAAAAAUAUUUUUAGUCAUUUUAUAUUUUUUUAUUUUAUUGAAAACUUGAAAGACUAAGCCAGUAGGUGGGAAAAAAACACAUUCCAGUAUUUUUAUUCUUUACUUUACAAAUGGCAAUGUCAGGCCAUAUAUUUUCAUGCAUAUACACAACAUAGUACUAAAAAAAAUUUUGCAUCAAUAUGAAUAUUUUGAUCUGCUGUAUUUUCUUAAAUUAUCUUAUAGAAAAAAUGAACUGAUCACAGCACUGUAGGAUAUAUAAUUAUUGCUAUUAAUACAAUUAAUUAAGAUUAAAAAUAACAAAUUACUUUUAAUGAGUUUCCUAGACAUAAAUUUAUUUCAGUCUACAAACUCAUUAAUAUGUUUGUAGUAUAUCCAAAUUAAAUUAGCACUCUGAUGUUGACAGAAGUGCUCUUUCUUUGCAAAGUAACAAACAUAGCACAUAAAACCAUUUUCUAAGCAGCAAGUUUGAUAUCACUUUCAAAUAAAUUAAUAAUAGUCUGACAAAUUUUCUACUUCCUUUUAUUUUUAUUUUCAUCUUUUCAAAUGGGUAAACUCAGGCAUCUCUAUAUGCAGAUGUAGAGUAGAACCAUUAAAAAACACUUUGAAAUAACCAGUUACAUAGAAAAAAUUUCAUGAAUUUCUUAUACAAACAAAUUGCAAAUAUUGCUGUAUUAUUGUAGAUAUAAAAAUAUAAAUUGUAAACUCUAGGGUCAAGGUGCUUAGAUUGAAAUUCUGGAUCAAGCACUUUCUGAUAUAGACAAGUAACUUAAAACCUUUAUACCUUAUUUUUUUUAUAUUUAAAGUAAGCACAAUUUUACCAUCUUCCAAAUGAGUUAUUAUGGCAAAUGAAUGUUUUAAUGUAGGUUAAAAACUCAUUAGGUUCAUAUCAUUCAAAUUACUAAAUAAGGGAAUAAUUUCUGUACCUUCAACCUACUUGUUUUACAUAUAUAAAUAUUAUGCAAUAUAUGCAUAUCUGUACAUAUUAUUAUAUUUGUUAAUUAUAUAAUAUACAUUAAUAACAGAUAUGCUAUCCAUCCAUCUAUCUAUCCAUUCACACACACAUAUACAAUGUAUGCACAAAGUAGAAAGUAGGACCUUCCACAAGAUAAUAAUUAUUACUACAUUUUGCUGGUAAUUUUUAUUAGUGUUUUAAAGUGUUUUUUUCUUUAAAAUUUAUAUUAAUUGUUGCACUUACUCAUGCCUACCUUUCUCAGCCUCUUUAUGCCUUUAGGUACAUCUUAUCAUUCUCAGACUCUUCUGCUAUUGGCUUUACACUGCAGCGUAUUAGGUCUUAAUGCCAACUUUUUAACACUUUUUAAAUUUAAAAAGGCAUACCUUCUGAGAAGCACCAUGCAAAUGCAGCAAAUGCAGAGCACAGAAAUGGUCUACUUUUGGUUAAAACUUGAAGAGACAAUUCUACAACAACUAAUCAAAGUAACUCUGUUGAAAUGCUGAGAACUUGGAGGUAAGCAUUGAUAACCUAAUCAGAUGGUUUUGUGAUCUGUAAUAGUGUUCAAUUUUAAUGACAUACCUAACCAGAAAUUAAAAUGUUAUGUAUAAUCACCACUGGACAUUUUAUUUUGAGAUGCAUGAGGUUACUGUUGAUUUCAUGAUAUUUGUUUUAUUUUCCUUUUUUAGCUUGUAAAGGGUCCCAGAACUUUAUUCCUUCUAAUUAUCAUCUGCUUUUAGUAGCUACUUAGUGUUGAGAACUAUGUUAGCUUAUCAUAUUUUUUAUUAGUCAAGCAAAAGACAUGAGACUCCUCGGUCAAGGACAAAAUCCUUUAUUACUCAUGGCACAGAAGCCAGCAUGAGCUGCACACACACAUGUGUUCUCCUUGUCCCCAAUUAUUAUCAAAGUGAUGUGCAAGAGGGCAUAUUGAAUGCUGUACACUCAGUGGUUUGUGUCACAGCUGAAGAAACUUAACAUUUAAAGGAGGAUGCUAGCAAACAUCCUCCAUUUUGCCCUGGAGGAGGGAGAUAUUUUCAUUAAUGUUCUAGACAGCAAUGGUAACCACAACCACAACAAUGCUGACCUGUUCCCCAGAGGAACACACUAUGUGUAUUUUCUAAGGUAGUUUGCCAUUAAAAUUCCUGAAAAGAUAGAAAAAAAGUUGUCAGUACCUCUGCCGAGAUGAUUUAAAGAAAUAUAAUAAACCCAUGGAGAAUUAUGUCCUAAUUUUUAGGUUUCUUAUAUUCAUUAUUAUAUCAAGGAAUGUUAAUGGUCAGUGUAAAUGGGAUAAAAUCUUGUAUAGACUUUGGGAACAUAUGCUCUGAAUAUAGAAUAUAAUUAAUAGAACAUUUAUCUCAUAUAAUGUAUUUACAGAAACCCCCUGUGGAUUAAAGAUUUAAUAUGAACUGUAAAGUCUAAAUCUUUUACAAACAUAAAUAAGAAUAUCUUUUGAUUCUAAGUUGUGAUGUAUUUACAAACAACACACUAAAAUCAGUUAAAGGACUGAUAAAUGUAACUGAAUUUAUAAAAUAGCAUGUAUAUGUGUAAAAAUCUUUCGAAAAUCAGUUAUAAACUUUUCACAAUAUUGAUUCUACCCAUUCAUGAGCAUGGGAUGUGUUUCCAUUUGUUCUUGUUGUCUGUUAUUCCUUUCAGCAGUGUUUUGUAGUUUUCCUUGUAGAGGUCUUUCAAAUCCUUGGUUAGAUAUAUUCCUAAGUUUUUUUUUUUUUUUUUUUUUUUUUUUUACAGCUAUUGUAAAAGGAGUUGAGUUCUUGAUUUGAUUCUCUGCUUGGUCUGUGUUGAUUGUGUAGAAGAGCUAUUGAUUUCUGUACAUUAAUCUUGUAUCUGGAAGCUUUACUGAAUCCUUUUAUCAGUUCUAGGAGCUUUCUGGAGGAGUCCUUAGGGUUUUCAAGGUAAACAAUCUUAUCACCAGCAAAUAGUAACAGUUUGACUUCCUCUUUACCGAUUUGGAUGCCCUUUAUUUCUUUCUUUUGUCUGAUUGCUCUGGCUAAGACUUCCAGCACUAUGUGGAAGAGGAGUGGUGAGAGUGGGCAUCCUUGUCUUGUUCCAGUUCUCAGAGGGAAUACUUUAAACUUUUUUUCAUUCAGUAUUAGUUGGCUCUGGGUUUGUUAUAGAUGGCUUUUAUUACAUUAAGUUAUGUCCCUUGUAUGCCGAUUUUCUUCCAGCUAUUUUGAAACACACAAUAAAACACUGUUAACCAUAGUCACUCUGGUAUGCAAUAGAACACCAGAACUUAUUCAUUUUAUCUAAUUGUCACUUUUUACCUAUUGGCCAAUCUGUUCCUUCUAACCUUCCAGCUUCUGGUAGCCACUAUUUUACUCUCGACUUCUAUGAGGUCAAUGUUUUUAGAUUCCACAUAUGAGUGAGAUCAUGUGGUAUUUAUCUUUCUGUGCCUGGCUUAUUUCAUGUGAUAUAAUGUCAUCCAGGUUCAUCUAUGUUGCUGCAAAUGAGAGGAUUUCAUUAUUUUAUGAUUGGAUAGCAUUAUGAUCCCAGUAGUGGGACUGCUGGAUCAUAGGUAGUUUUAGUUUUAAUUGUUGAGGAAGCAUUAUACUGUUUUCCAUAAUGGCUGUACUAAUUUAUAUUACAUUCCCACUGACACAGUGUAUGAGUUAUCUGUUUUUCAUCAUCACCACAUUUGAUAUCUUUUGUCAUUUCGAUAGUAGCCAUUCUAAGCAGGGUGUGGUAAUAUCUCAUUUUGGUUUUGAUUUGCAUUUCCCUGACGAUUAUUGGUGUUGAGCAUUUUUUCAUAUGCCUAAUGGCCAUUUGUAUUUUUUUCUUUUUUGAGAAAUGCCUAUUCACAUCUUUUGCCCAGUUAAAAAAAAUCAGGUUUUUUUGUUUUUUUUUUUUUUUUUUUUGCUAUUGAGUUGUUUGGGUUUAUAUAUAUAUAUAUAUAGUCUCAUUAUAAUCCCUUGUCAGAUGCAUAGUUUACAAAUAUUUCCUCCAAUUACGUAGGUUACCUCUUCACUCUGUUGAUUGUUUCCUUCGCAGUACAAAAUAUUUUUACUUAUACAAUCUCACUUGUCUGUUUUUGUUUUGUUGCCUCUGCUUUGGGGGCCUUAUCUGAAAAAUUCUUGCCCAGACUAAUGUCAUGAAGUAUUUCCCCUAUGUUUUCUUCUAAUAGUUUCAUAAUUCCAGGUUUUACCUUUAACUUUUUAAUCUAGUUGAGUUGAUUUUUAUUUUGUAUGUAACUAUCCAGAUUUCCAACCGUUUAUUGAAAAGGCUGUCUUUCCUUCAUUGUGUGUUUUUGGCAACUUUGUCAAAAAUCAGUUUUAACUGCCUAAAUUUAUUUCUGUGUUCUCAUUUCUGUGCCAUUUGUCCAUGUGUCUAUUUUUAUGGUAGUACAAUUUUAUUUUGGUUAUUAUAGCUUGUCGUUUAUUCUGAAGUCAGGUAGUGUGAUGUCUCCAGCUUUGUUAUUUUGCUCAAGGUUGCUUUGGCUAUUUGAGCUAUUGUUGCUCUAUACGAAAUUUGUGACAGUUUUUCUGUUUCUAUGAAGUAUGUCAUUUGUAUUUUGAUAGGGAUUACACUGAAUAUGUAGGACACUUUGGUUAGGAUGGACAUUUUACCAAUAUUCAUUCUUCCAAUAUAUUAUCACAAAAUAUCCUUCCAUUUAAUUGUCUCUUAUUUAUUUUCUUUCACCAGUGUUUUCUAGUUUUCAGAGUAGAAGUUUUUCACCUCCUUGGUGAAAUUUUGUUCUAAGUAUUUUAUUUUUGGAAGGUAUUGUAAGUGUGAUAGUUUUCUUUAUUUCUUUUUUUCACAUAGUUUGCUAUUACUGUAUAGAAAUGCUACUGACUUUUGUAUGUUGAUUUUGUAUUUUGCAACUUUACUAAAUUUUGUAUUAGAGCUAACAAAUUUUUAGUGGAGUUAGUUUUUUCUAUAUAAGAAAACAUAUUGUCUGCAAACAUGAACAAUUUAAUUUCUUCCUUCUCCAACUUAGAUGGCUUUAUUUCUGUCUGUUGCCUAAUUGCUCUGGUUAUGACUUCCAAUACUAUAUUGAACAGAAGUGAUGAAAGUAAAUAUUCUUGUCUUGUUCCAGAUCUUAGAAGAAAAACUUUUAACAUUUUCUCAUGCAGUAUAAUAAUUAGCUGUGGACUUGUCAUAUAUGGCCUUUAAUGUGUUGAAGUAUAUUUCUUUUAUAUCUAAUUGUUAAGAGUGUUUAUCAUGAAGGAAUGUCAUCAGAUUCUUUUAUGCAUUUAUUGAAAUAAUCAUGUGAUUUUUGUCCUUUGUUCUCUUGAUAUGAUGCAUGAUGUUUAUUUUGUAUGUUGAACCAACCUUGCAUCCCUGAGAUGAAUCUCGCUGCAUUGUGAUGAAUGCUCUUUUUAAUGUGCUGUGGAAUUUUAUUUGCUAGGAUUUUUUUUUAUAAUUUUUGCAUCUAUAUUUAUCAUGAAUAAUGCCAAGUUAUUUUCUGUUUUUGUUUUGUUGUCUGGUUCUGGCAUCAUGGUAACGUUAAUUUUGUAGAAUGAGAGUAGAAGUAUUUUCUUCCCUUCAAGCUUUAGGACAGUUUGAGUAAAACUGGUGUUCCUUAAAUGUAGAAUUCCUUGGUGAAGUCAUCAGGUCCUCAGCUUUUCUUUGAUGGGAGAAUUUUUAUUAUUGAUUCAAUCUUAUUACUCAUUAUUGAUGUGUUCAUAUUUUUAUUUUCUUCAUGCUGUAUUCUUCUUUGGUUCUAUGUGUCCAGGAAUUCAUCCAUUUUUUCCAGGUUAUCCAAUUUAGUGGCACAUAAUUGUUCCUAAUAGUAUCUUAUGAUCCUUGCAUCUCUGUCAUAUCAGUUGUAAUGGCUUUUCUUUUUCAUCUAUGAUUUAUUUAUUGGAGUCUUUUUUUCUCAUUUAGUGUGACCAAAGUUGUUAAUUUUGUGUAUCUUUUCAAAAAGCCAGCUCUUCAUUUUGUUGAACUUUUGUAUUACUUUUCAGUCUCUAUUUCAUUUAUUUUUGUUUUGAUCUUUAUUAUUUCCUUCAAUUUUUGAUUUUUGAUAUACUUUAUUUUUCUUGUUUCUUGAGGUACAAUAUUAGGUUGUUUAUUUCAGAUCUCUGUUCUAUUUUGAUGCAGGCCUUAUUGCAGUAAACUUCCCUCUCAGAAUUGCUUUUGCUGUAUCACAUAGGUUUCGGUAUGUUGUAUUUUUAUUUACAUUUGUCUCAAAAAAUUUUUUAAUUUCCCUUUUAAUUUCUUCUUUGGCUCAUUAGCUGUUAAGGAAAAUGUUGAAUUUCCAUGUAUUUGUAAAAUUUCUGAACUUUCUCCUGUCAUUGAUUUCUAGUUUUAUACUAUUGUGGUCAGAAAAGAUAUUUGAUAUAGUUCUUAUUCUCUUAAAUUUGUUAAGACUUGUUUUGUAGCCCAGCAUGCAAUCUACCCUGAAGAAUCUUCCUGGUGCAAUUGAAAAGAAUGUAUAUUCUGCAGUUCUUGAAUAGAAUGUUCUGUAAAUAUCUGUUAGGUCUAUUUAGUGUAGAGUGCAGUUUAAAUAUGUUACUUUGUUGAUUUUUGGUUUUGAUAAUCUGUUCAUUAAUGUAUGAGUAGUGUUGAAGCUCCCUAAUGUUAUUGUAUUACACUUAUUUUUUCCUUUUAUAUCUAUUAAUAUUUGCUCUAUAUAUUUAGGUCUUCCAAUGUUAGUACUAUAUAUUUAAGACCAUUAUAUCCCCUUUCUAAAUCAUCCCGUUAUCAUUGUGUAAUGACCCUUGUCUCUUUUUAUCCUUUUAUUAUGCAAAGUUUAUUUUAACUGAUGAGAGUAUAGCUACUCUUGCUCAUUUUUUGUUUCCAUUGGUAUGGGGAGUCUUUUUCUAUCCCUUUAUGUUCAGUCUAUGUGUGCCCUUAAUAUUGACGUAGGUGUUUUGUUGGCAGCACAUAGUUGGUUCUUGUUUUUUUUUUUUAAUCCAUUCAACUAUCCUAUGUCUUUUAAUUGGAGAAUUUAAUCCAUUUACAUUAAAGGUGUUUAUUUAUACAUAAAAACUUUUUACUGCCAUUUUGUUAAUUGUUUUCUGUUGUUUUGUUAAUCCUUUUUUUUUUUUUUUUUGAGAUGGAGUCUCACUCUUUCACCAGGCUCGAGUGCAGUGGUGCAAUCUCAGCUCACUGCAACCUCCACCUCCCAGGUUCAAGCAAUUCUCCUGUCUCAGCCUCCUGAGUAGCUGGGACUACAGGCGUGUGCCACCACACCCAACUAAUUUUUGUAUUUUUAGUAGAGACAGGGUUUCACCAUGUUGGCCAGGGUGGUCUUGAUCGGUUGACCUCGUGAUCUGUCCGCCUCGGUGUGAAUGCUUUCUACCUUUUUUUCUCUCUUGCUGCCUUUAUUUGUGGCUAAAUAAUUUUCUAUAGUUAUAUGUUUUGAUUCCUUGCUUUUUAUAUUUUGUGUACCUAUUUUAAAUUUUUGCUUUGUGCAUACCAUGAAACUUAUGAAAAACAUUUUAUAGACAUAACAAGUUUUUUUAAGCUAUUAGAAGCAACUUAUUACAAUUAAAAAAGACUUUACAUUUUAAUUAUACCAUCCCCAUUUUGGAUUUUUGAUGUCGCAAUUUACAUAUUUUUGUAUUGUAUAUAUCUUUAGAAUUAUUGGUAAUUAUUAUUAUUUUAAUAGUUUUGCUUUUUAACCUUCAUACUACAAAUGUAAGUAAUUUACAAGACUUCAUUAUACAACUAGAGUAUAUUAAAUUUGUAUAUUUUAUCUAUGAGUUUCACUUUCAAAUGUUUUCAUGAUACUCACUAGUGUCCUUUCCUUUCAGCUUUAAGAACGCCUUUUAGCAUUUUUUGUAAGAUAUAUGGUGGUGAGGAACUCCCUCAGCUUUUGUGUGUGAGAAAAAUCAUUAUCUCUCUUUCAUUUUUGAUGGACAGAUCUGCCAGAUGUAGUAUUUUUGGUUGACAGGUUUUUUUAUGUUUGGUUAUUUUUUCUUUUUUUUUUGGCUUCUACCUUCAACACUUUAUAUAUAUUAUCACACUCUCUCCUGGUUUGUGGGGUUUCUGCUAAGAAGUUCACUCAUACUUUACACUCCUUUGCAUGUGAUGUGUUUCUUAUCUCUUGCUAUUUUCAGAAUUUUUUUCUUCAUUUAUUAUUUUUGAUAGUUUGGUCAUUAUAUGUCUUGGUGUAAUACUCUUUGGGUUGAAUUUUAUUAGAAACCUCUGUGCUUCUUGUACUUGGAUGUUGGCAUCUAUCCCUAGAUCAGGGUAGUUUUCAACCAUCAUCUCUUUAAAUAUUCUUUCUUACCCUUUUUCUUUUUCUUCUCCUUCUACAACACCUGUUAUGCAAAGGUUUGGUCUCUUGAUAUUAUCCCAUACAUUUUUGUAGGUGUUCUUCAUUUAAAAAAAAUUAUUUUGUCUUUUUUCUCCUCUAUUAUUUUUACUUUUUAUUUUUUUUUAAUUUUUAGAUCCAGAGGUACAGAUGACUAGAUAAUUUUAAAUGCUCUGUCACCUAGCUUAUUAAUUCUUUUGAUUCUGUUGUUAAAGGUUUCUAUUUUUUUUCAGUUUAGUCAUUGUAUUUCUCAUCUCUAAGACUUAUUUCUAAUUGUUAUUUUUUCUAUUUAUUUGGUGAUUUCAUUUUUGUGUAUUGUUUUCCAG